RNAcentral lists this ribosomal RNA (466 nucleotides) under Vreelandella stevensii. RNAcentral describes it as "partial 16S ribosomal RNA". It matches the Rfam family "Bacterial small subunit ribosomal RNA", at positions 338 to 795 of the family's 1533-position model. Lineage: Bacteria; Pseudomonadati; Pseudomonadota; Gammaproteobacteria; Oceanospirillales; Halomonadaceae. The record is from RNAcentral.
CCUACGGGCGGCUGCAGUGGGGAAUAUUGGACAAUGGGGGGAACCCUGAUCCAGCCAUGCCGCGUGUGUGAAGAAGGCCCUCGGGUUGUAAAGCACUUUCAGUGAGGAAGAACGCCUGGUGGUUAAUACCCAUCAGGAAAGACAUCACUCACAGAAGAAGCACCGGCUAACUCCGUGCCAGCAGCCGCGGUAAUACGGAGGGUGCGAGCGUUAAUCGGAAUUACUGGGCGUAAAGCGCGCGUAGGUGGCUUGAUAAGGCCGGUUGUGAAAGCCCCGGGCGCAACCGGGGAACGGCAUCCGGAAGUGGCGAGCUAGAGGGCAGGAGAGGGGGGUGGAAUGCCCGGUGGAGCGGUGAAAUGCGUAGAGAUCGGGAGGAAGACCGGUGGCGAAGGCGGCCUUGGGGACUGACACUGACGCUGGGGUGCGAAAGCGUGGGUAGCAAACAGGAUUAGAGACCCUGGUAGUC